RNAcentral lists this ribosomal RNA (438 nucleotides) under uncultured bacterium. RNAcentral describes it as "partial 16S ribosomal RNA". It matches the Rfam family "Bacterial small subunit ribosomal RNA", at positions 339 to 795 of the family's 1533-position model. The record is from RNAcentral.
CUACGGGGGGCAGCAGUGAGGAAUAUUGCACAAUGGGGGGAACCCUGAUGCAGCAACGCCGCGUGGAGGAUGACGCAUUUCGGUGUGUAAACUCCUUUUAUAUGUCAAGAAAAUGACGGUAGCAUAUGAAUAAGCACCGGCUAACUCCGUGCCAGCAGCCGCGGUAAUACGGAGGGUGCAAGCGUUACUCGGAAUCACUGGGCGUAAAGGACGCGUAGGCGGGUUGGAAAGCCAGGUGUGAAAUCCUACAGCUUAACUGUAGAACUGCACUUGAAACUUCUAAUCUAGAGUAUGGGAGGGGGAGAUGGAAUUAGUGGUGUAGGGGUAAAAUCCGUAGAUAUCACUAGGAAUACCUAAGCGAAGGCGAUCUCCUGGAACAUUACUGACGCUAAGGCGUGAAAGCGUGGGGAGCAAACAGGAUUAGAUACCCCAGUAGUC